This 170-nucleotide unclassified non-coding RNA is filed under the name rhizosphere metagenome. RNAcentral's name for it is "partial ribosomal RNA internal transcribed spacer region". The record is from RNAcentral.
GUAGGUGAACCUGCGGAAGGAUCAUUAACAAGUCCAACAUAUGGCAGCUGCUUUACUGCGGCCUGCUAUAUAAGCCCCGUGCAGCAAUGCACGUGUGACACAUUUUAUCGUUUGACUGAAUUAUAUUACAUAACCAAGGAAAACUUUCAACAACGGAUCUCUUGGUUCUG